This 402-nucleotide ribosomal RNA is filed under the name uncultured bacterium. RNAcentral's name for it is "bacterial SSU rRNA". It matches the Rfam family "Bacterial small subunit ribosomal RNA", at positions 355 to 774 of the family's 1533-position model. The record is from RNAcentral.
UGGGGAAUCUUGCACAAUGGGGGCAACCCUGAUGCAGCGACGCCGCGUGAGCGAUGAAGCCCUUCGGGGCGUAAAGCUCUUUCGACCGGAACGAUGAUGACGGUACCGGGAGAAGAAGCUGCGGCUAACUACGUACCAGCAGCCGCGGUAAUACGUAGGCAGCAAGCGUUGUUCGGAGUUACUGGGCAUAAAGAGUGCGUAGGCGGUUUUCUAAGUUCGGUGUGAAAUCUCCCGGCUUAACUGGGAGGGUGCGCCGAAGACUGGGAAGCUGGAGUGUGGGAAAGNCAGGCGGAAUUCCUGGUGUAGCGGUGAAAUGCGUAGAUAUCAGGAGGAACACCGGCGGUGUAGACGGCUUGCUAGACCAUAACUGACGCUGAGGCACGAAAGCGUGGGUAGCAAACA